This 329-nucleotide unclassified non-coding RNA is filed under the name soil metagenome. Its description in RNAcentral is "partial contains 5.8S ribosomal RNA, internal transcribed spacer 2, and large subunit ribosomal RNA". The stretch from base 1 to 120 matches the Rfam family "5.8S ribosomal RNA", at positions 35 to 154 of the family's 154-position model. The record is from RNAcentral.
GAUGAAGAACGUAGCGAAAUGCGAUAAGUAGUGUGAAUUGCAGAAUUCAGUGAAUCAUCGAAUCUUUGAACGCACAUUGCGCCUUCUAGUAUUCUGGGAGGCAUGCCUGUUUGAGCGUCAUUUCACCACUCAAGCCUGGCUUGGUGUUGGGCGACGUCCCCUUUGGGGACGCGCCUCGAAACGCUCGGCGGCGUGGCACCGGCUUUAAGCGUAGCAGAAUCUUUCGCUUUGGAAGUCGGGGCCCCGUCUGCCGGAAGACCUACUCGCAAGGUUGACCUCGGAUCAGGCAGGGAUACCCGCUGAACUUAAGCAUAUCAAUAAGCGGAGGA